RNAcentral lists this transfer RNA (73 nucleotides) under Candidatus Woesearchaeota archaeon. RNAcentral describes it as "tRNA-Ala". It matches the Rfam family "tRNA". From Rfam's summary of the family: Transfer RNA (tRNA) molecules are approximately 80 nucleotides in length. Their secondary structure includes four short double-helical elements and three loops (D, anti-codon, and T loops). The record is from RNAcentral. Lineage: Archaea; Nanobdellati; Candidatus Woesearchaeota.
GGGCGCGUAGCUUAAUGGACAAAGCCCCUUUUUGGCUAAGAGGAGGAUGCGGGUUCGAUUCCCGCCGCGCUCA